AAACGCCGCGUGAGGGACGAAGGCCUCUGGGCUGUAAACCUCUUUUCUCAAGGAAGAAGACAUGACGGUACUUGAGGAAUAAGCCACGGCUAAUUCCGUGCCAGCAGCCGCGGUAAUACGGGAGUGGCAAGCGUUAUCCGGAAUUAUUGGGCGUAAAGCGUCCGCAGGCGGCUCAGAAAGUCUGUUGUUAAAAAGUGGAGCUCAACUCCAUCCAGGCAAUGGAAACUACUGGGCUAGAGUGUGGUAGGGGCAGAGGGAAUUCCCGGUGUAGCGGUGAAAUGCGUAGAUAU
This 290-nucleotide ribosomal RNA is filed under the name uncultured bacterium. RNAcentral describes it as "partial 16S ribosomal RNA". It matches the Rfam family "Bacterial small subunit ribosomal RNA", at positions 392 to 697 of the family's 1533-position model. The record is from RNAcentral.